AUGCCUUCCUGGGAGGGGAGAUGCCGUGACGGUGGAGACGUUUUCCCCAGGAUGAUGCUUAUUUAUUGCAUGCUGGGUGCGCCGAGCCCUGUGAUUUCCUAAAGUCAGGGAAACUCACCUAUAUAAUUGUGAUAAUGUGUUUGGGUUCACCCUUAAAAAAA
Small nuclear RNA from Microtus ochrogaster (prairie vole), 161 nucleotides. Its record names the gene U1. It matches the Rfam family "U1 spliceosomal RNA". From Rfam's summary of the family: U1 is a small nuclear RNA (snRNA) component of the spliceosome (involved in pre-mRNA splicing). Its 5' end forms complementary base pairs with the 5' splice junction, thus defining the 5' donor site of an intron. There are significant differences in sequence and secondary structure between metazoan and yeast U1 snRNAs, the latter being much longer (568 nucleotides as compared to 164 nucleotides in human). Lineage: Eukaryota; Metazoa; Chordata; Mammalia; Rodentia; Cricetidae. The record is from Ensembl.